RNAcentral lists this ribosomal RNA (244 nucleotides) under uncultured bacterium. RNAcentral describes it as "partial small subunit ribosomal RNA". It matches the Rfam family "Bacterial small subunit ribosomal RNA", at positions 26 to 285 of the family's 1533-position model. The record is from RNAcentral.
AGAAUCAACGCUGGCGGCGUGCCUAACACAUGCAAGUCGAACGAGAAAGGGACUUCGGUCCUGAGUACAGUGGCGCACGGGUGAGUAACACGUGACUAACCUACCUGGAGUGGGGAAUAACUGAGGGAAACCUUAGCUAAUACCGCAUAAUACCUACGGGUCAAAGGAGCAAUUCGCUUCAGGAGGGGGUCGCGGCCGAUUAGCUAGUUGGCGGGGUAAUGGCCCACCAAGGCAAUGAUCGGUA